RNAcentral lists this ribosomal RNA (253 nucleotides) under uncultured bacterium. Its description in RNAcentral is "partial 16S ribosomal RNA". It matches the Rfam family "Bacterial small subunit ribosomal RNA", at positions 524 to 776 of the family's 1533-position model. The record is from RNAcentral.
UACGGGGGGGGCGAGCGUUGUUCGGAAUUACUGGGCGUAAAGGGCUCGUAGGUGGCCUUCUAAGUCAGACGUGAAAUCCCUCGGCUCAACCGGGGAACUGCGUCUGAGACUGGGAGGCUUGAAUCCGGGAGAGGGACGUGGAAUUCCAGGUGUAGCGGUGAAAUGCGUAGAUAUCUGGAGGAACACCGGUGGCGAAGGCGGCGUCCUGGACCGGUAUUGACACUGAGGAGCGAAAGCCAGGGGAGCAAACGGG